RNAcentral lists this ribosomal RNA (860 nucleotides) under uncultured bacterium. Its description in RNAcentral is "SSU rRNA". It matches the Rfam family "Bacterial small subunit ribosomal RNA", at positions 524 to 1381 of the family's 1533-position model. The record is from RNAcentral.
UACGGAGGGUGCAAGCAUUGAUCGGAAUUACUGGGCGUAAAGGGCGCGUAGGCUGUUAAGUAAGUCAGAUGUGAAAUUCCGGGCGCUCAACCCCGGAGCUGCAUUUGAAACUGUUUAGCUAGAGUGUAGUUAGGGUAAACGGAAUUCCACGUGUAGCGGUGAAAUGCGUAGAUAUGUGGAAGAACACCGGUGGUGAAGACGGUUUACUGGGCUAUAACUGACGCUGAGGCGCGAAAGCAUGGGGAGCAAACAGGAUUAGAUACCCUGGUAGUCCAUGCCUUAAACGAUGCAUACUAGGAGUAAGAGGGCUCAACCCCCCUUGUUCCGGAGCUAACGCAUUAAGUAUGCCGCCUGGGGAGUACGCUCGCAAGGGUGAAACUCAAAAGAAUUGACGGGGGCCCGCACAAGCAGUGGAGCAUGUGGUUUAAUUCGAUGCAACGCGAAGAACCUUACCUGGAUUAGAAGUGUAGAGGACGAUAUCAGAGAUGAUAUUUCCCGCAAGGGCCUUUAUAUAGGUGCUGCAUGGCUGUCGUCAGCUCGUGCCGUGAGGUGUUUGGUUAAGUCCAGCAACGAGCGCAACCCUUAUCGUUAGUUGCCAACACGUAAUGGUGGGAACUCUAACGAGACUGCCUGGGUUAACCAGGAGGAAGGUGAGGAUGACGUCAAGUCCGCAUGGCCUUUAUGUCCAGGGCUACACACGUGCUACAAUGGUCGGUACAGAAGGCAGCGAAGCCGCAAGGUGAAGCAAAUCCUCAAAAACCGAUCUCAGUUCGGAUUGUAGUCUGCAACUCGGCUACAUGAAGUUGGAAUUGCUAGUAAUGGCGUGUCAGCAACAACGCCGUGAAUACGUUCCCGGGCCU